RNAcentral lists this long non-coding RNA (410 nucleotides) under Hordeum vulgare. RNAcentral's name for it is "long non-coding RNA (HVUL_LNC001795)". Lineage: Eukaryota; Viridiplantae; Streptophyta; Magnoliopsida; Poales; Poaceae. The record is from RNAcentral.
ACGGCUUUGGCAAAUGCGCCUUCCGCUUGACCACACAUCCCCAGAUGAGGGGUGCAGGAAUCGCAACUGGUUCACGCAAGGGCAAUUUCGAAUAAGCCCGUGGCACCUUAGGAACCACAGCGUCGCCAUCCGACAAAGACCUCGCCAGGGUUGGGGAGGCACAAGCACCCCAUGGCAACUGUGGAAGGCGAGGAGUAGAAACUCCAACAACAAGACUAGUAGGAGAAAUGUCACACUCUCACAAACCACGAUCUAAAUUUUUGACCAGAAUGUCACCACAACUCCCCACAUCACGAAAACUCCCUUACUCCGGUAAGCAGAGAUAUCACCACGGUCUCCUGGCCACGGUGGUGGUUCCAAACUGCGGAGAUGCAGCUCUCCCCCUUCACGACGCGCCCACAGCUCCGAGC